GAGUUUGAUCCUGGCUCAGGAUGAACGCUGGCGGUAUGCCUAACACAUGCAAGUCGUACGAGGGUUUUUAACUCUAGUGGCGGACGGGUGAGUAACACGUGAGAAUUUGCCUUUAGGAGGGGGAUAACAAUCGGAAACGAAUGCUAAUACCCCAUAUGCUUUUGAGUGAAACGGAUUUAUCCGCCUAAAGAGAAGCUCGCGGCUGAUUAGCUUGUUGGUAAGGUAAGAGCUUACCAAGGCGACGAUCAGUAUCUGGUUUGAGAGGACGAUCAGACACACUGGAACUGAGACACGGUCCAGACUCCUACGGGAGGCAGCAGUGGGGAAUUUUCCGCAAUGGGCGAAAGCCUGACGGAGCAAUACCGCGUGAGGGAAGACUGCCUAUGGGUUGUAAACCUCUUUUUUCAGGGAGGAAUAAAAUGACGUGUACCUGAAGAAUAAGCAUCGGCUAACUCCGUGCCAGCAGCCGCGGUAAGACGGAGGAUGCAAGUGUUAUCCGGAAUCACUGGGCGUAAAGCGUCUGUAGGUGGUUUAAUAAGCCAACUGUUAAAUCUUGAGGCUCAACUUCAAAAUCGCAGUCGAAACUAUUAGACUAGAGUAUAGUAGGGGUAAAGGGAAUUUCCAGUGGAGCGGUGAAAUGCGUAGAUAUUGGAAAGAACACCGAUGGCGAAAGCACUUUACUGGGCUAUUACUAACACUCAGAGACGAAAGCUAGGGUAGCAAAUGGGAU
RNAcentral lists this ribosomal RNA (730 nucleotides) under uncultured bacterium. RNAcentral describes it as "bacterial SSU rRNA". It matches the Rfam family "Bacterial small subunit ribosomal RNA", at positions 9 to 778 of the family's 1533-position model. The record is from RNAcentral.